Molecule: ribosomal RNA, 450 nt
Filed under: Granulicatella adiacens
Lineage: Bacteria; Bacillati; Bacillota; Bacilli; Lactobacillales; Carnobacteriaceae
Description: bacterial SSU rRNA
Rfam family: Bacterial small subunit ribosomal RNA
Source: RNAcentral
GACGAACGCUGGCGGCGUGCCUAAUACAUGCAAGUCGAACGAGAGCGACUGGUGCUUGCACUGGUCAAUCUAGUGGCGAACGGGUGAGUAACACGUGGGUAACCUGCCCAUCAGAGGGGGAUAACAUCCGGAAACGGAUGCUAAAACCGCAUAGGUCUUCGAGCCGCAUGGCUUGAAGAGGAAAAGAGGCGCAAGCUUCUGCUGAUGGAUGGACCCGCGGUGCAUUAGCUAGUUGGUGAGGUAACGGCUCACCAAGGCCGUGAUGCAUAGCCGACCUGAGAGGGUGAUCGGCCACAUUGGGACUGAGACACGGCCCAAACUCCUACGGGAGGCAGCAGUAGGGAAUCUUCCGCAAUGGACGCAAGUCUGACGGAGCAACGCCGCGUGAGUGAAGAAGGUUUUCGGAUCGUAAAACUCUGUUGUUAGAGAAGAACAAGUGCUAGAGUAAAC